AGAGUUUGAUCAUGGCUCAGAAUGAACGCUGGCGGCGUGCUUAACACAUGCAAGUCGAGCGAGGCCUGGGGGGCAACUCCCAGAGUCGAGCGGCGGACGGGUGAGUAACACGUGGGUAACCUGCCCGGAAGUGGGGAAUACCUCGGGGAAACUCGAGCUAAUACCGCAUGACAUCUUCGGGACGAAAGUUCUGACGAUCAAAGCGGGGUCGCAAGAUCUCGCGCUACCGGAUGGGCCCGCGCCCGAUUAGCUAGUUGGUGAGGUAACGGCUCACCAAGGCUUCGAUCGGUAACCGGCCUGAGAGGGCGAUCGGUCACACCGGAACUGAGACACGGUCCGGACUCCUACGGGAGGCAGCAGUGGGGAAUCUUGCGCAAUGGGCGAAAGCCUGACGCAGCAACGCCGCGUGGAGGAUGAAGGCCCUUGGGUUGUAAACUCCUGUCGGCUGGGAAGAAAUCAUACGGUGCUAAUACCACCGUGUGUUGACUGUACCAGCAAAGGAAGCCCCGGCUAACUCUGUGCCAGCAGCCGCGGUAAUACAGAGGGGGCCAGCGUUAUUCGGAAUUAUUGGGCGUAAAGGGCGCGUAGGCGGCCAUGCGUGUCUUCCGUGAAAUCCCUCGGCUUAACUGAGGACGUGCGGAAGAAACUGCAAGGCUCGAGUCCGGGAGAGGGGGGUGGAAUUCCCAGUGUAGCGGUGAAAUGCGUAGAUAUUGGGAGGAACACCGGUGGCGAAGGCGGCCCCCUGGACCGGUACUGACGCUGAGGCGCGAAAGCGUGGGUAGCAAACGGGAUUAGAUACCCCAGUAGUCC
RNAcentral lists this ribosomal RNA (810 nucleotides) under uncultured bacterium. Its description in RNAcentral is "bacterial SSU rRNA". It matches the Rfam family "Bacterial small subunit ribosomal RNA", at positions 8 to 796 of the family's 1533-position model. The record is from RNAcentral.